CGAACGCUGGCGGCAGGCCUCAUACAUGCAAGUCGAACGAUUAAAGCUCCUUCGGGAGUGUAUAGAGUGGCGAACGGGUGAGUAACAGGUGGACAACCUACCUCCUGGCGGGGGAUAACGGCUGGAAACGGCCGCUAAUACCGCAUGUCAUUAUUUGAACUUCGGUUCACUUAAAAAAAGGCGCUUUCGGGCGUCACCAGGAGAUGGGUCCGCCCCCCAUUAGCUAGUUGGUGAGAUAAAAGCUCACCAAGGCUUCGAUGGGUAGCCGAGCUGAGAGGUUGAUCGGCCACACUGGAACUGAGACACGGUCCAGACACCUACGGGUGGCAGCAGUAGGGAAUAUUGCGCAAUGGGCGAAAGCCUGACGCAGCCAUGCCGCGUGAGUGAUGAAGGCCUUCGGGUCGUAAAGCUCUUUUCUGAGGGAAGAACAACCGGGAUAGGAAAUGAUCCCGGUCUGACGGUACCUCAGGAAUAAGGAACGGCUAACUCC
Molecule: ribosomal RNA, 490 nt
Filed under: uncultured bacterium
Lineage: Bacteria
Description: bacterial SSU rRNA
Rfam family: Bacterial small subunit ribosomal RNA
Source: RNAcentral